RNAcentral lists this ribosomal RNA (253 nucleotides) under uncultured bacterium. RNAcentral describes it as "partial 16S ribosomal RNA". It matches the Rfam family "Bacterial small subunit ribosomal RNA", at positions 524 to 776 of the family's 1533-position model. The record is from RNAcentral.
UACGUAGGGAGCAAGCGUUGUCCGGAAUUACUGGGCGUAAAGGGCACGUAGGUGGGCGCUUAAGUCAGGUGUGAAAACUCCGGGCUCAACCUGGAGACUGCACUUGAAACUGGGUGUCUUGAGGGCAGGAGAGGAAAGUGGAAUUCCUAGUGUAGCGGUGAAAUGCGUAGAUAUUAGGAGGAACACCAGUGGCGAAGGCGACUUUCUGGACUGUACCUGACGCUGAGGCGCGAAAGCGUGGGUAGCGAACGGG